AAUCAACGCUGGCGGCGUGCCUAACACAUGCAAGUCGAACGAGAAAGGGGGACUUCGGGUCCCUGAGUAAAGUGGCGCACGGGUGAGUAACACGUGACUUAUCUACCCUCGAGUGGGGAAUAAACUUCGGGAAACCGAGGCUAAUACCGCAUAAUACCCACGGGUCAAAGGAGCAAUUCGCUUGAGGAGGAGGUCGCGGCCGAUUAGUUAGUUGGCGGGGUAAUGGCCCACCAAGACAGUGAUCGGUAUCCGGCCUGAGAGGGCGCACGGACACACUGGAACUGAAACACGGUCCAGACUCCUACGGGAGGCAGCAGUGGGGAAUUUUGCGCAAUGGGGGAAACCCUGACGCAGCAACGCCGCGUGGAGGAUGAAGUCUCUUGGGACGUAAACUCCUUUCGAUCGGGACGAUUAUGACGGUACCGGAAGAAGAAGCCCCGGCUAACUUCGUG
Molecule: ribosomal RNA, 452 nt
Filed under: uncultured bacterium
Lineage: Bacteria
Description: bacterial SSU rRNA
Rfam family: Bacterial small subunit ribosomal RNA
Source: RNAcentral